UACGUAGGGCGCGAGCGUUGUCCGGAAUUAUUGGGCGUAAAGAGCUCGUAGGCGGCCGGUUGAGUCUGAUGUGAAAUCCCGGGGCUUAACCCCGGGCGUGCAGUGGAUACGGGCCGGCUGGAGGCAGGCAGGGGAGAAUGGAAUUCCCGGUGUAGCGGUGAAAUGCGCAGAUAUCGGGAGGAACACCGGUGGCGAAGGCGGUUCUCUGGGCCUGUACUGACGCUGAGGAGCGAAAGCGUGGGGAGCGAACAGG
This 253-nucleotide ribosomal RNA is filed under the name uncultured bacterium. RNAcentral's name for it is "partial 16S ribosomal RNA". It matches the Rfam family "Bacterial small subunit ribosomal RNA", at positions 524 to 776 of the family's 1533-position model. The record is from RNAcentral.